GAGCAAGCUUCCCCUGUGGCACCAUUCCAGGUCCAGAUUCUGGUUUGUAUUUCUUGCCACAUCACGAGAGAAUGGGAAAAGCAGAUGAAAGGUGAAAAACUGAAAAUGGGAAACGAACCGGCUAUGCCAUCUUAAAGAAGCAGGAACAAAACUGCAGCUUUGCCCAGCAGCCUCCCCACUGCAUGUUUGAAGCUGUAUCUGCCCAUAGCUCACCCACAGCACCGAGCGCAGACCUCCCUCCGUGAAGCACAUACACCGGCAGAUAAUCCAGAUCAGUUUACCUCUGUGUACCUGGCAGCAUGCUACUGUGCACUGACCAAGUAUCAGAAGAGUUUGUGGUUAAUUAGGAUCAGAUUAAUCCCUGCUGACUGCCUGUCUCUGUGUAAAAAGGGCACUAGAGGUUAGAAAGUAUUAAGUACCUUAAAUGUCUACUUGCAUAAUGUAAAAACCUACUGAAGAUCCAGACUUUGUGCUUGAAAGUGUUGAUGUGAAAUAAUUUACCCCUAGAGGCAUUUAAAUGUGUUUCUUAUCCUGUCAAAGCAAAAGAAUCCAUUAAAAAUUUCCCAGGAUAAAAUGUAAUAAAUACUUGACCAUGGAAAAAAAUAAACCUGCA
This 613-nucleotide long non-coding RNA is filed under the name Parus major (Great Tit). RNAcentral's name for it is "lncRNA (ENSPMJG00000014952.1)". The record is from RNAcentral. Lineage: Eukaryota; Metazoa; Chordata; Aves; Passeriformes; Paridae.